Non-coding RNA from Ictalurus punctatus (channel catfish), 458 nucleotides. The record is from the annotation of a RefSeq genome assembly. NCBI's taxonomy places the organism in Eukaryota, Metazoa, Chordata, Actinopteri, Siluriformes, Ictaluridae.
CUACUGCAAGAGAGACGCUCACAGCAAUCAUGUUACUCUUCUUCAUUUUUAUAGUUGUUAAAAACAUUGCUACUGUUGACAGCAGCAUUACACCAGAUCAAGCCAUCAUAUCUUCAAGUGAAGGCAGCAUCACCACACUGACCUGCACUUAUAAUCAAUCAGCUGAGUCUCUCCAUUGGUAUCGACAAAAGCCUCAAUCAGGACCAGAGUUUCUGCUGCUAAUUAUUGUAUCUUCAAAUGAUGUCAUUAAUGCUAAACAACCUGACCCAAGACUGUCUAUCAGACUUCGUGAGGGAAAGAAAGUAGAUCUGGAGAUCUUUCCUGCUGCAGUAUCAGACUCUGCACUGUACUACUGCGCCCUGCAGCCCACAGCGACACAAAACUCAAACAGACUGUACAAAAACUGAAGUUUUUUUUUUGUUUGUUUGUUGUUGUUUUUUCUUCUCAGGAGGGGGAGC